UGCAAGUCGGAGCGGAAAGGCCCUUUCGGGGGUACUCGAGCGGCGAACGGGUGAGUAACACGUGAGUAAUCUGCCCUUGGCUUUGGGAUAACUACCGGAAACGGUGGCUAAUACCGGAUAUGACCAUGCUCGGCAUCGGGUGUGGUGGAAAGUUUUUUCGGCCAGGGAUGUGCUCGCGGCCUAUCAGCUUGUUGGUGGGGGUAAUGGCCCUACCAAGGCUUCGACGGGUAGCCGGCCUGAGAGGGUGACCGGCCACACUGGGACUGAGACACGGCCCAGACUCCUACGGGAGGCAGCAGUGGGGAAUAUCGGACAAUGGGCGGAAGCCUGAUCCAGCAACGCCGCGUGAGGGAUGACGGCCUUCGGGUUGUGAACCUCUUUCAGUACCGACGAAGCGCCGAUGAUGGUGGUGACGGUAGGUACAGAAGAAGCACCGGCCAACUACGUG
Molecule: ribosomal RNA, 448 nt
Filed under: uncultured bacterium
Lineage: Bacteria
Description: bacterial SSU rRNA
Rfam family: Bacterial small subunit ribosomal RNA
Source: RNAcentral